Long non-coding RNA from Fundulus heteroclitus (mummichog), 575 nucleotides. RefSeq lists it as uncharacterized. The transcript has 3 exons. NCBI's taxonomy places the organism in Eukaryota, Metazoa, Chordata, Actinopteri, Cyprinodontiformes, Fundulidae. The record is from RefSeq and is a predicted model, not a curated record.
GGGUGGACCCCGCCUCUGGCCCAGUGACCGCCGGAAAGAGGCACCAGAAAGACCUCCCCACUACGACCAUGCAUGGAUAAGCGGAUAAAGUAGAAAUUGCCCGGCAAAUGCAACACUACUCUGUUGUAUUGAUCACAAAAAGAGGAGAGUGAAGUCGAAGAUGAAAACAAGACAUAACGCAUUUCACAGCAGUACCUAGAUGAGGACGCGUCCAGCAUACUUUGCUUUGCAUCCAAAUGGCCUCGCAUGUAAGAAAACAGCUACUCAGAAUGUAGCAGCUGAAGGCUCAGUUUUCUGGAUCAUCAAGGACUUCACCGUGACAGGACAUCCAGAGUAUCAAGCGAGCACCAGGACAGUCCUGAGUGAGCUACAGACGUUGUGUAGCCACUGCGGCAGAGCUUGCUGGAACGCUGGCAGCCGGUGGAUGUGUGUGCAUCAGCGAUUAAAGUGAGGUGAAGACUUUUGUGACAAGCGAGGCUGGAAAGAUGCAACUUCACAACAAGAAAACAGUCUGCAGGAAGUAAAAGGAUGGACAGCAGAAGCCUGCUUCCUCAGACAAACCCUCCGUUUUGAAC